RNAcentral lists this ribosomal RNA (163 nucleotides) under uncultured bacterium. Its description in RNAcentral is "partial 16S rRNA". It matches the Rfam family "Bacterial small subunit ribosomal RNA", at positions 355 to 511 of the family's 1533-position model. The record is from RNAcentral.
UAGGGAAUCUUCCACAAUGGGCGCAGCCUGAUGGAGCAACACCGCGUGAGUGAAGAAGGGUUUCGGCUCGUAAAGCUCUGUUGUUAAAGAAGAACACGUAUGAGAGUAACUGUUCAUACGUUGACGGUAUUUAACCAGAAAGUCACGGCUAACUACGUGCCAC